GCAGUAGGGGAGUCUGGAAUUCCUGGUGUAGCGGUGAAAUGCGCAGAUAUCAGGAGGAACACCGGUGGCGAAGGCGGGACUCUGGGCUGUUACUGACGCUGAGGAGCGAAAGCAUGGGGAGCGAACAGGAUUAGAUACCCUGGUAGUCCAUGCCGUAAACGUUGGGCACUAGGUGUGGGGCUCAUUCCACGAGUUCCGCGCCGCAGCUAACGCAUUAAGUGCCCCGCCUGGGGAGUACGGCCGCAAGGCUAAAACUCAAAGGAAUUGACGGGGGCCCGCACAAGCGGCGGAGCAUGCGGAUUAAUUCGAUGCAACGCGAAGAACCUUACCAAGGCUUGACAUACACCGGAAUGUGCCAGAGAUGGUUCAGCCCUUUGGGCUGGUGUACAGGUGGUGCAUGGUUGUCGUCAGCUCGUGUCGUGAGAUGUCGGCUUAAGUGCCAUAACGAGCGCAACCCUUUCUGCCAGUUACUAACAGACAAUGCUGAGGACUCUGGCGUUACCG
Molecule: ribosomal RNA, 504 nt
Filed under: uncultured bacterium
Lineage: Bacteria
Description: bacterial SSU rRNA
Rfam family: Bacterial small subunit ribosomal RNA
Source: RNAcentral